Molecule: ribosomal RNA, 253 nt
Filed under: uncultured bacterium
Lineage: Bacteria
Description: partial 16S ribosomal RNA
Rfam family: Bacterial small subunit ribosomal RNA
Source: RNAcentral
UACGGAGGGUGCAAGCGUUAUCCGGAUUCACUGGGUUUAAAGGGUGCGUAGGUGGGUUGGUAAGUCAGUGGUGAAAUCCCCGAGCUUAACUUGGGAACUGCCAUUGAUACUAUCAGUCUUGAAUAUUGCGGAGGUUAGCGGAAUAUGUCAUGUAGCGGUGAAAUGCUUAGAUAUGACAUAGAACACCAAUUGCGAAGGCAGCUGGCUACGCAUAUAUUGACACUGAGGCACGAAAGCGUGGGGAUCAAACAGG